UAAUGAUAAAGUUAUCUGUAAAUAAGUUUUAUGUUAAAUGUGAGUUAUUAUAAGUUUUAAAGAUAUUAGUUUUAAAAGUUAUUAAAAGGUUAAAUGUUUAAAAUAAGAACAUUACUGAAUUACGGAACUUAUCAUAUUUACUCCGGAAUAAGUUUUAUAAUUACUUAGUCCAUGGGAGAUAAUUUUGAGUGUAAAUUUAUAUCGCUAAAUAUUCUGAAGACGCACAAUCUUCAAAACCCUAAUUUUACUGAAUACUUAAAUAAGUUUGACUUGCAGAAAUUGCAGAAAUGUUUGAAGCCUGGAGACUGAGGUAUUCAUUAUGUAAUGUAGCUGUAUUGUGAUUUAAUAUGUUAAUAUUUUGAAUGCUUAGAAUUGAGGUUGAUUCAGAAAGUAAAAAUACAUAUCAUUACUUUUAUGUUAUUGGCAAGUCUUGCAUACAACAUUUUAAUUAUUAGAAAUAUAUUUAGUAAUGCAAUUAAAGAAAAUAUGCGAGUUAAGCUCUUGAGUUAGGUCCACCCCUUUUUAACAUGUUUAAUGAAAUAUAACUAUUGAAAUUUACAGAGUUAAUUCCCCUGUUGAGUUAUUCCCCUUUGAAAUAAGUUGUAUGUGAGACUGUAAAGGUUCAUCAUUGUUUAGUAAUUUAUUGAUGCAUGAUUUAUUUGUAAUUGAUUGUAACUGUUUAUUGAAUAUACAAUGUAGACUUGAUCUUUGGAACCUGAAAAUAAAACAUCAUUUUACAGAACUUCUGUCUAUUUUAGUAACUUGCAGAACAGAAAACAAAAACCCCCCUACAAUCAGCACAACAGUUUAUGGUGGAGGACCCGGGCCAAAAAUUAUGUAUUUGAAGUCUUCUGCAAUAGUUGUAUAUAAAAUCCCACAAAUUUCAAUAGAUUGCUCAGGAAAACAAAUUUUUCAUGAAGGUUGUGAUUUUUGCAUUAUGAAUAUUCCUUGUCAAUGUUCAAUUGCCACAAAAUUAUUAAGUUAUCCCCCCUCAAUAACUUCAUGCAAAAGGUCAAAUAAUAUUACAGUUGCCCAUCCAAUAAAUCUAGCAUUGCUACAACAAUUUUUUACUGCAAAACAAUUGAUAGAAAUUAAUGGUAGUUCUACAUUCGUAGAAAAGAUGAGUAUUAAUGUUCCAG
Molecule: long non-coding RNA, 1139 nt
Filed under: Mytilus galloprovincialis (Mediterranean mussel)
Lineage: Eukaryota; Metazoa; Mollusca; Bivalvia; Mytilida; Mytilidae
Source: RNAcentral